UGGGGAAUAUUGGACAAUGGGCGCAAGCCUGAUCCAGCCAUGCCGCGUGAGUGAUGAAGGCCCUAGGGUUGUAAAGCUCUUUCACCGGUGAAGAUAAUGACGGUAACCGGAGAAGAAGCCCCGGCUAACUUCGUGCCAGCAGCCGCGGUAAUACGAAGGGGGCUAGCGUUGUUCGGAAUUACUGGGCGUAAAGCGUGCGCAGGCGGUUGUGUAAGUCAGAUGUGAAAUCCCCGGGCUCAACCUGGGAAUUGCAUUUGAGACUGCACGGCUAGAGUGUGUCAGAGGGGGGUAGAAUUCCACGUGUAGCAGUGAAAUGCGUAGAUAUGCGGAGGAACACCGAUGGCGAAGGCAAUCCCCUGGGCCUGUACUGACGCUCAUGCACGAAAGCGUGGGGAGCAAACA
Molecule: ribosomal RNA, 402 nt
Filed under: uncultured bacterium
Lineage: Bacteria
Description: bacterial SSU rRNA
Rfam family: Bacterial small subunit ribosomal RNA
Source: RNAcentral